AACGGCCGUACCAUGCUGAAUAUACCGGUUCUCGUUAGAUCACCGAAGUCAAGCAUCAUUGGGCGCCUCAGUACUUGGGUGGGUGACCACCUGGGAACACUGCGUGCC
RNAcentral lists this ribosomal RNA (108 nucleotides) under Caerostris darwini. The record is from RNAcentral. Lineage: Eukaryota; Metazoa; Arthropoda; Arachnida; Araneae; Araneidae.